This 504-nucleotide ribosomal RNA is filed under the name uncultured bacterium. RNAcentral's name for it is "partial 16S ribosomal RNA". It matches the Rfam family "Bacterial small subunit ribosomal RNA", at positions 29 to 523 of the family's 1533-position model. The record is from RNAcentral.
AUUGAACGCUGGCGGCACGCUUAACACAUGCAAGUCGAACGGCAGCGGGGGGAGCUUGCUCCCUGCCGGCGAGUGGCGAACGGGUGAGUAACGCGUAGGGAUCUGCCUGUUAGAGGGGGAUAAGCCGUGGAAACGCGGUCUAAUACCGCAUACGCUCUAAGGAGGAAAGUAUGGGACCGAAAGGCCAUACGCUAACAGAUGAACCUGCGUUAGAUUAGCUAGUUGGUAGGGUAAAGGCCUACCAAGGCGACGAUCUAUAGCUGGUCUGAGAGGAUGACCAGCCACACUGGAACUGAGAUACGGACCAGAGUCCUACGGGAGGCAGCAGUGGGGAAUAUUGGACAAUGGGGGCAACCCUGAUCCAGCGAUGCCGCGUGUGUGAAGAAGGCCUGAGGGUUGUAAAGCACUUUAGUUGGGGAGGAAAGCCUGAGGAUGAAUAAGCCUUAGGGGAGACGUUACCCAAAGAAUAAGCACCGGCUAACUCUGUGCCAGCCGCCGCAGUAA